CGCAAUAUCACUUAUAGUUGAGAAUUGGACUAUUCCUCGACAGAGGCAUGUCUUCAAAAGGAUUCUUCAUACUUGCCUUCCCUUGCAUUUGGUUCCAAUGGAGUCCAACAAAGAACCUUCAUCCAAGAGAAGCAUUACUCCACUUGGGACAUCAGAGAAUUGACUGCACGUGAUUUCGCAGGGCUUUCUAUGUCUGCUCCGUCACAUUUUGUGAUCAUCCUUCACAAUUUUUGAUCAUCAUGUCUUCCUGGUCCAUCUGCUCAUCUCAGCAUCCUGGCUGAGAAGUGAGAACCACAAUUGUCCCACAGCAGGCAUAUCAGAGCAAGCAUGUCUGUCCCAAUGUCUAUGCUCAAACAUUUUACGGCAGUUCAAGCAAUCAAACUACAGUUCCCUUCCUCACGAUGUCGAAUGGAGGAACAUUUUUUCAGUGAUGGAACAAUCUUCCUGGAUGAAGAUGCAUUUGUCCAAAACUGUUAACAUGUACUCUAUUAUUAUUUAAUGUUGGGCGUGGUAUGAUGUAACAAUGUGGUAUUCUAUUGCGUAAUUGCGUUGCGUGGCAUGGAGUUAUGUAUCAAAUGGUGGCAGCUAUAGCUUCUGCUCUGCCUGAUCUAUCUAGCCGUCCUUCUGUACGAGGCAAGAUCUCAA
Long non-coding RNA from Panicum virgatum (switchgrass), 645 nucleotides. RefSeq lists it as uncharacterized. Lineage: Eukaryota; Viridiplantae; Streptophyta; Magnoliopsida; Poales; Poaceae. The transcript has 2 exons. The record is from RefSeq and is a predicted model, not a curated record.